RNAcentral lists this long non-coding RNA (401 nucleotides) under Brachypodium distachyon (stiff brome). RNAcentral's name for it is "long non-coding RNA (BDIS_LNC000202)". The record is from RNAcentral. Lineage: Eukaryota; Viridiplantae; Streptophyta; Magnoliopsida; Poales; Poaceae.
UCCUUUCCCCCAACAGAUAAAGCACUGUCUCCCCAUUGAACAAGUCGCUUGGAAACCUUAUCUUGAAGCUCUGAAAUUUCCCUUUAUUCAUCCUACCCUCCUGUGUUGACAAACCGAGGUGUUGACAAUUAAACCUUAUCUUGAACUAUGGCUGUGUGCAUCGAUCGAUGCAGAGGCCGGGGAAGUCCUUCUUUUCGGAAAAAAAGAGGUGUUGACAAACCGAGGUAUUUAGCUUCAAACGUCACCUGCUCAACCUGAAGGAUGUGCCGAAUAUCAUCCUGGAUAUGAUGUGGCUCUUUGAUUUUCCACAUCGCUCAGAUGCAGGCUACCUCCUCGGCCGCCCCAUCUGCUACACGGCCGGUUCCCUCGCCAAGUUGCUCCUCCUCCGUUGCCCUCGCCAG